AGGAUGAACGCUAGCUACAGGCUUAACACAUGCAAGGUCGAGGGGCAGCAUGAUCAAAGCUUGCUUGAUUGAUGGCGACCGGCGCGACGGGUGAGUAACGCGUAUCCAACCCUUCCCUUAGGUAGGGCAUACGCCCGGCGAAAGUCGGAUUAAUACCCUAUGUUAUCCGAAGAGGACAUCUGAAUUGGAUUAAAGAUUUAUCGCUAAGGGAUGGGGAUGCGUCUGAUUAGGUAGUCGGCGGGGUAACGGCCCACCGAGCCUACGAUCGGUAGGGGUUCUGAGAGGAAGGUCCCCCACAUUGGUACUGAGACACGGACCAAACUCCUACGGGAGGCAGCAGUAAGGAAUAUUGGUCAAUGGGCGCGAGCCUGAACCAGCCAAGUAGCGUGCAGGAUGACGGCCCUAUGGGUUGUAAACUGCUUUUAUGCGGGGAUAAAGUGCACCACGUGUGGUGUUUUGUAGGUACCGCAUGAAUAAGGACCGGCUAAUUCCGUGCCAGCCGCGGC
This 506-nucleotide ribosomal RNA is filed under the name uncultured bacterium. RNAcentral describes it as "bacterial SSU rRNA". It matches the Rfam family "Bacterial small subunit ribosomal RNA", at positions 26 to 518 of the family's 1533-position model. The record is from RNAcentral.